This 261-nucleotide ribosomal RNA is filed under the name uncultured bacterium. Its description in RNAcentral is "partial 16S ribosomal RNA". It matches the Rfam family "Bacterial small subunit ribosomal RNA", at positions 524 to 784 of the family's 1533-position model. The record is from RNAcentral.
UACGUAGGGUGCGAGCGUUAAUCGGAAUUACUGGGCGUAAAGCGUGCGCAGGCGGUUUUGUAAGCCAGAUGUGAAAUCCCCGGGCUUAACCUGGGAAUGGCAUUUGGGACUGCAAGGCUUGAGUGCGGCAGAGGAGACUGGAAUUCCUGGUGUAGCAGUGAAAUGCGUAGAUAUCAGGAGGAACACCGAUGGCGAAGGCAGGUCUCUGGGCUGACACUGACGCUCAUGCACGAAAGCGUGGGGAGCAAACAGGAUUACGAA